Molecule: small RNA, 891 nt
Filed under: Paraconiothyrium cyclothyrioides
Lineage: Eukaryota; Fungi; Ascomycota; Dothideomycetes; Pleosporales; Didymosphaeriaceae
Description: eukaryotic LSU rRNA
Rfam family: Eukaryotic large subunit ribosomal RNA
Source: RNAcentral
GCGGAGGAAAAGAAACCAACAGGGAUUGCCCUAGUAACGGCGAGUGAAGCGGCAACAGCUCAAAUUUGAAAUCUGGCUCUCUUUGGGGGUCCGAGUUGUAAUUUGCAGAGGAUGCUUUGGCAUUGGCGGCGGUCUAAGUUCCUUGGAACAGGACAUCGCAGAGGGUGAGAAUCCCGUACGUGGGCGCCUGCCUUUGCCGUGUAAAGCUCCUUCGACGAGUCGAGUUGUUUGGGAAUGCAGCUCUAAAUGGGAGGUAAAUUUCUUCUAAAGCUAAAUACCGGCCAGAGACCGAUAGCGCACAAGUAGAGUGAUCGAAAGAUGAAAAGUACUUUGGAAAGAGAGUCAAAAAGCACGUGAAAUUGUUGAAAGGGAAGCGCUUGCAGCCAGACUUGCCCGCAGUUGCUCACCUAGGCUUUGGCCUGGGGCACUCUUCUGCGGGCAGGCCAGCAUCAGUUUGGGCGGUCGGACAAAGGCCUCUGUCAAGUAUCUCCCUUCGGGGUGACCUUAUAGGGGAGGCGUAAUGCGACCAGCCCGGACUGAGGUCCGCGCAUCUGCUAGGAUGCUGGCGUAAUGGCUGUAAGCGGCCCGUCUUGAAACACGGACCAAGGAGUCUAACAUCUAUGCGAGUGUUUGGGUGUCAAGCCCGGGCGCGCAAUGAAAGUGAACGGAGGUGGGAACCCUUUGGGUGCACCAUCGACCGAUCCUGAUGUCUUCGGAUGGAUUUGAGUAAGAGCAUAGCUGUUGGGACCCGAAAGAUGGUGAACUAUGCUUGAAUAGGGUGAAGCCAGAGGAAACUCUGGUGGAGGCUCGCAGCGGUUCUGACGUGCAAAUCGAUCGUCAAAUUUGGGCAUAGGGGCGAAAGACUAAUCGAACCAUCUAGUAGCUGGUUCU